CUUGUUCUUUAAAUGAGGACUCGUAUCAACGGCACUACGAGGGCUAUACUGUCUCCUUUUUCUAAUCAGUGAAACUGAUCUCCCCGUGAAGAAGCGGGGAUUAUAAUAUAAGACGAGAAGACCCCAUGGAGCUUUAAACUCACCAUGCACCUCUGUGCCCCCAUACCCCUAAACACAACAGACCUGCAUGUUAGUUUUAGGUUGGGGUGACCACGGAGUACAACUUAACCUCCAUAGCAAACGGGCUAAUACCCUUAUCCACGAGACACAACUCUAAGAAUUACUAAACUAAUGCUUACGACCCGAUAUUCGAUCCAUGAACCAAGUUACCCUGGGGAUAACAGCGCAAUCUACUUCAAGAGCCCAUAUCGACAAGUAG
RNAcentral lists this ribosomal RNA (379 nucleotides) under Rana chensinensis (Chinese brown frog). Its description in RNAcentral is "partial large subunit ribosomal RNA". It matches the Rfam family "Bacterial large subunit ribosomal RNA", at positions 1968 to 2515 of the family's 2925-position model. The record is from RNAcentral. Lineage: Eukaryota; Metazoa; Chordata; Amphibia; Anura; Ranidae.